RNAcentral lists this long non-coding RNA (806 nucleotides) under Hermetia illucens (black soldier fly). RNAcentral describes it as "uncharacterized LOC119655290, transcript variant X2". Lineage: Eukaryota; Metazoa; Arthropoda; Insecta; Diptera; Stratiomyidae. The record is from RNAcentral.
AUUCUCGGCACGGUGUUUUGAGUGUUGGGUUUUCGGGUUUGUUUGUGUUGACACGAGGCACUCUCGGUUGGCUGAGUGUUUGUCAAUUAUUUGAUGUCUGUUUGCGCGUGUUUACGUAAAUGUUUAACGAGGUUCAUUUUUUUGUUUUGGACUUUUUUCAUCGCUCCCGUUGCAGCCUAUUGUAAGGAAGGCGUUGUUGUUGCAUCAGUUCCCGUUUUUCUCUCAUUACCCACUGGCAUCCCAUUAAAAUAUCUCAACGAGAACGCAACGGGUCACGAGGGUGCUUAUCGUGGCGUCGUCGCCUUACUUCGCUUCAAUUGAAUUUCUAUCGCGUAAUCGAUAGAUAAUUGGUAAUCGUAAUUUUCAUAAUUUUUGGCUUUUCUUUUCACUUGGUUUUCCCCCCGGACUCGGGGGCCUUCUUCAUAGCUCAGCUCUGUGGAAAGCUCCGUCAUGGCGAGACACUUACGACUCUUUGUAGCAGGUCUUAGGCUGCUGAUCGACUGUAUGUUGGGGCAAGAGACUGCGGUAGGAGGGGCAGUCGGUCAGGCAAUUUGAUGGACGAUUUACACAGGCAGAAUGGAGUGUGACGGAGAGAUUUGCAUAUUAUGAUAAUAAACUAGGCGAAUUAGAACGAUAACAGACAGUUAAUUGAUGUUGUGUGUGCACUUGAGGUUGCGUAUUUUUACUGUUUAACCGUUAAAUAUUUUGGUUUAGCAGGCAUUGUUUUUUUUAUUGGAUUUCAUAGAAGGCCAACGGUAUUAUGAGAAAAUGUUUUUCCCGAAUUUCUGGAAAAUAAAUUUCUGAUU